This 4949-nucleotide long non-coding RNA is filed under the name Monomorium pharaonis (pharaoh ant). Its description in RNAcentral is "uncharacterized LOC118647557". Lineage: Eukaryota; Metazoa; Arthropoda; Insecta; Hymenoptera; Formicidae. The record is from RNAcentral.
AUCGCCAGUCAUUAGGCUUCUCAAAGGCCAGGGAGAAUCUGGAGUCACUCGCAUAUGUGUCCAGGCCAAUGGUGAGCAAAUGAAGUUCCUCUCCCCGUCUGCGCACCCAGGACACCUGUAACGAAAAAAAAAGAGAGCGGUUCUUCCCCGGUCAGCUGUCGGUGACCUCUGAAAAUUAUUAGCUGCAAACCCCGGAAAGUCUCUACCUGCUUCUGAACUUUACACGCGAUAUACAAGCGAGUGCAGACAAGGUAUAUUUAUACGCGGUCGACUCUCAUGAGUGGACGUAUAAGAGUAGUCUUGUUCCUUCCGCGAAAGAAAGAGAGAGGAAGAGGGAGGGAGAGUGCCAAGAACACUUUGCAUAAAUCAUGCACAUCGAAGCUAAUGGAACAGUGUGCCAUAAAAAUACGACCGUAUUGCCCGUAAAUCACAGUAAGUUAUGCCGUUAACUGCUGUUAUCUGACGCAAAUAUAUGUCCGCAUUUUAAAACCGAUUGUAUCGCUCCUCCAUUCAUUGAAUCGUGAAUAGAAGCUUCAUGCGCAAAAAAGUUCUGACAGCUUCGAUAAACUUAGUCAAGGAGAUAAACUCAUGGAAUGCUUUUGGCGUUAAUUUCUUUUGUCAAGCCACAGCAGAAAAGAAAUCAAUAAAAGUUUCAUAAAGGAUAAAAAAUCGUGCAAUGUGCAUAUGAAAAAGACGUUAUACAAAAAAUAUUGUAUUAAUAAAACGUAUUUUAAUGUAGAAUAGAAAAGAAUUUAAAUUAAAAUAUAAAAUUUUGAAAAUAUAACAUUUUCACACAUAAUUUUAUAGUGUUGAAACUUGUUUCUCUUAUAAAGUUAUGAUUAUAAGCAAUUGUGUUAACGAGAAUAAAGCUUUUAUAAAAUAUAAAAAUUAAAUAUUCUUUCAUAUUAUCAUGCAUCAAUAUCCAAUAAAAAAACACAUAGAUGUUAUAUAUUUUACGUUUAUGAAUAUGUAUGUAUGAAUAUGCUUUAAUAUAAUUGUAUAAUUUUAUAUUGAAUGGAGGAAUUUUUAAAGAUUACGUUUAUAAGAUAUAUAUCAAAUAUAUGCUGGUUUUAAUUAAAAAGAAAGAAAAAUAUAUAACUCUGAACAAAGCAAACGAAAAUAAAAAAAUGUUACUCUUAACAAGCAAAGGUAUCAUAUCUUGACUGUCAUAAAGAAAAGAUUAUUAAUAAUAACAAAUUAUUAAUGACGUUUUUCAUCUUUUGUGAAAAGAUAAUUUCACAAAGCUACAUUUUUCUAGUAUAACAAAAAUAAGACACUGAUUAAGAUAAAAGUCUUAGGUAAAGUUUUGCGCAUUGAUUAACAUAAUCUGAUGAUUUGUAUGAUUUGUAUAAUAAUUAAUUAUUGUAUUUUAUUUUCAAAAUUAUAUAUUAAUAUUAUAUAUUUGUUUUCUUGAAACGCAAUAAAUUAAUUUGCAGAUAUAUUUUAAAUAAAAUAUAUUUUACUCUUCAAAUAAACGAUAAUUUUAACAUAUGAUAUAAUACAGGAAUUGAUUUGAAAUACAUAAACAGAAUUUGUACAAAUUUAUUUUGUAAUAAAUAUUUCUCGAAAUGAUCAUAGCGUAUUUUGAUCUUUGUUUUUUUAGCUGUUUUAUAUAAGUAGAAUCAUUACGCGCUAUUAUUUGUAUUAUUAUUACACUCGAGCAAACAUAAGUUUCUUUGCAUUACAUCUCAACAUCAUUUUUUGAGUGAUUUAUGAUUAUAAUUAUGUAUUUAAUUAACUAUUUAAUUAAUUAUUACCACUAAUUUACCACUUAUCAUUAAACCUUGCCGUAUCAAGAUGACAGGCAAAGCAAAUAUUUUGCACGAUUUAUUCAUUCAAAAUAAAAAUCAAAGUUAAUCAUCAAAAAUAGAAAUUGUUUAAAUUAUUACGUUAACAUAAUACUUAUAAAUAAUUAUUUUUUCUUUGACAAUAAUUAAAUUCGAAUAUAUUUCACAAUGCGCUUAGUAAUAAACACAUAAUAUUUAUUUUGGCUUUUUUGCCAAAAUAAAUAUUGUUUAUUUAUUACUACUUUUAAAAAUAACAAAUAAUUUAUUGGAUUAAAUAAUAUUGAUAACGAGAAAGCCAUAAUUUAUUCUGUACACAUUUAUUGAUAAUAUUUUGUAUGCUUUGGCGGAAUUAUACGCAUUGUGCAUAUUAACAUUGGAAAUACCGAACAAAGUUCAGUGCUAAAAAAAUACAUAAAGUUGCAUAAACAAUAAGUAUAAAAUAUAUACGAUGUACAGUGAGAAUGCAAUUUAAAUUUGUCAUUUACGUUUAUUUUUUUAUUCGUUUAUAUAGUUUUUGUCGCGGCUUUAGCGUUCGCAGUUCAUACUUGGAAGUUAACGAGAAAGUUUGCGGAUUGUAGAAUAGGCGGUUCGCACUGUUCAAAUUGAUAUACAAUAAUUUAUUGUUUAUUCCCAAAACUGCUUGAGAUUUACAAAGUAAUAGUAAACGCUAACUCGUAGAGCGAAUAUCGGGUAACCGCUCGAAAACUAGCAAAGGGAUAGCAGAGCGUGUAUGUACAUAUCUUGAUAAAGUUCCGUGUGAGAUCCGCAGAAUUAUAUGAAUAACGCGUCGAUCGCCUUAUAAAGACUUACCAGCCCGGAGGCAACGCGAGAAGGAAACGACGGAUACCUCAUCCUCUCGACUCGAACGCCUUGACUCGAUUGCGAGAGAAAAAGUCCAGCGCAAUACAUACACUGAACGUAACAAAUCAAAUAGAAAUCAUGCGAAACACGCAUAUCAAAUUUUCAUGGCAGACGUUUACGGACCGGAAGAUAGAAGCAAACGCCUCUCGAGCCAAACCGAUUGAGCAGCCACGUCGAUAUUCCAACACAGUUAUGUAUAUAUUUCCACUGCUCUCUCAGAAUCAGUGUAUUAGCACUAAAGAACUGAAUAAACACUGAUGAUUAUAAUUUGAACUAUAGUACUGCGAAUAAGAUUUCACUAAUUCCGAUUUAGAGAGUGGAAAUCGUGUAAUUUUAUUUUGUUAAUAAUAUUUUGUUUUCAUAUAAUUUUAUCUAAUUUUUUUACAGUGUGCGAAAUACGAUUACACUAAACUGAUAAUUUCAUUUCCAUGAUUUAUUAUAAUUAUAAAAAACAAUUCUUUGAUAUAAAGAUUAUUAAUUUUAUUUUCUUCGAUAACAUUUUCUUUACAAAGUAACAAUAAUAAUCUGAUUUCCAUGUCUUUUCUAAUGAUAAAUAAAAUUAGAUUUGAUGUGUAAUAAUAGCAUAUUUAUCGAAAUUUGUUCGGGAGAAUUUAUUUGAAAUAAUAAAUUAUUUUCAUAAGGUAUUAAACAUCUUGAUACACAAAACAAAAUUUAGUCAUGGAAAUAUUAAAUAAUAAACUUCAAAACGAUGAAAAAAUUAGUUUAAUAGAUAAGAAUUUCAUAUAGAUGAGACUUUAUUCAAUUUAUUUAAAACUUUAAAAUGAAAAUUUAUUUUAUAAAGUAUUAAAUAUUUUAGAUAAUAUAUUUAUUCUUGGUAUUUAUAUUACGCUGUCUUGGGCUUUUGUUGUUAGACAAAGUGUCGUCGCGCUACCACUUUGCAAACCGAACGGGUCAUACACCAUAACAUGUUUAAGGUCUUUGCUUUUGCGUUAUCAUUCUCGUCCAGACGCUUGACCCAACAAGCAGUCGAGCAAGCGGGUCAAGCUGCGUGAGUAGUGUUAUUACACCUUGAAACACGAUACGAUAAGUACAUAGAGAAUACCACAGGUAUUAGACAGAUACAUCAUUCUCUGUGAAAUGACCGUUAGAUUAUUUCGCGAUUAAGAUAAAAUUCACACGACUUGUAUAAAGCUCCUUCUAACGGAAACUAACAGUGAGUCUGUUAGACUUACACCGUCAAUUAUAAAUCUUGAAUUACAUAGAAAGAUUUCUGCAAAGAUUUUAUUUUCUUUUUAGAAGAUUCUUUUUAAACUUUUAAUUUAAGGAAGAGUAAUUAUAUCUAUAGUUCUUUUAUCCAAAUUCAAUUCUAUAAAGAAAAAUGCUAUCAUGUCAAGUUUGUGAGAAAAAUGUGACUCAAAAUCGCCCCAAAAUUGCGCUUUUUUAUUAUUUUUGAAAAAUUUUGAAAUUUGUGACAAGUUUGAUACAUGAAGAAUUUUGAAAAAAACCCAAAAAUAAUAUUUGAACAUUUAAUAUGAUAAAGUUUUAAUACGAUAAGUAUCGAAGCUUUUACCGCCGGCACCAUUGAAUCCCUAACACGCUAUUUUCUAAGAAAUAGUUGAAUAGACCCAUAAUAAGAAUGCAGUUAUAAAAAUAUUAACGCACUUUUUUAUCAUUCUAUCCUUGUUUUAUAUCUAAUGAACGAUAAAGAGUGAGAAUUUCAAUGCCAAUUUAUUUUAAUAAUUAAAAUUAAAUUCUAAAACAUACAUAAUAUUUUUUAAUAAUAUAAAUAUCUUUAUAAGGAUAAUAAUAUUACGUAACAUAUGUAUGAGUUUUCACAAUUUUAUAUAUACUGUAAUUCUAUAUAUAUUGCAAUUUUAUCAUUUUACAUAUGAUAUUAUAAAAGUAAACUAACAUUAAAAUUCAAUACACGUGAUUGCGACACAAAAGCUUUAAACGAAAAUGUUAUAAUAAGGAUUAUAUAAAUUUUGUGUAUGUGUGGGUAUGUUUGCAUGAAAAAAUGCACAUUAAUAAUAAUACAACUGUAAUGUGUAAUUAUUAAACAUUAAAAAUUAUUUGAAAAGAAAACAUUUUGAUACUCGCUAAAGGAUAUAAUUUAUAUAUGGUACGUCUGAUCGGCAAGCCAUUGCUACCAGUUGUGGUCGACAAGGGGGACAAUGGGCGUUGACUCGGAAAUCUAAUCGAAAGUUGCGAAUCGUGUCGACCACUGUGAUAGAAUAGUUUUACUUACAAAUUCAGACUCAGCGCACAAAAAAUUACAAAAAACUUCUCUCUCUAAAUCCGCAAAAUCAUGCCUGUGUUAUUAAAAUAAACUUAAUAUAC